GAUGAACGCUGGCGGCGUGCCUAAUACAUGCAAGUCGAGCGAACAGACGAGGAGCUUGCUCCUCUGACGUUAGCGGCGGACGGGUGAGUAACACGUGGAUAACCUACCUAUAAGACUGGGAUAACUUCGGGAAACCGGAGCUAAUACCGGAUAACAUGUUGAACCGCAUGGUUCAACAGUGAAAGACGGUUUUGCUGUCACUUAUAGAUGGAUCCGCGCCGCAUUAGCUAGUUGGUAAGGUAACGGCUUACCAAGGCAACGAUGCGUAGCCGACCUGAGAGGGUGAUCGGCCACACUGGAACUGAACCACGGUCCAGACUCCUACGGGAGGCAGCAGUAGGGAAUCUUCCGCAAUGGGCGAAAGCCUGACGGAGCAACGCCGCGUGAGUGAAGAAGGUCUUCGGAUCGUAAAACUCUGUUAUUAGGGAAGAACAAAUGUGUAAGUAACUAUGCACGUCUUGACGGUACCUAAUCAGAAAGCCACGGCUAACUACGUG
Molecule: ribosomal RNA, 497 nt
Filed under: uncultured bacterium
Lineage: Bacteria
Description: partial 16S ribosomal RNA
Rfam family: Bacterial small subunit ribosomal RNA
Source: RNAcentral